AUGCUGCAAAUGCAGAAGUACCACACAACUCCAAUGGGAAGGAUGGUGGAGGAGGUGGAUGAGGAUGGCGGCGGCGGCGUCUGCGGUUGCGCCUCGUCCGCAGCUGUGCUGGUGGUGGUCGAUGCGAGAGCCGGAUGGCGUUGGCCAGAAUCAGGCAGGGGCGACAAAGAUUUAGAGGAGAGAGAGAAUGGAGGCGAUGAGCGAUGGGAGGAAGGGCCACCGGCGAUUGGGGUGGCCUCAGAUCCGCCCUCCGUGGCCGCCUAUUUCAUGGGACGAACACCCGUGCUCACCGUCGGGCUCGCCUUCGGCCGCUGCCUCGCCGACAUUCACGACGUAGAGCCCCUUCCUCCGAUCCCAUUUGCCAGGGAGGCAGCGCCAUCCUUCAUCGCAGAGAACGAGUCCACACUGAGAUCCCAACCAGAUCGUGAUUGCGCCUCCCCAAACCACAGCGGCACAUCCCACUCCAUCAACGACCAACCUAUAUGA
RNAcentral lists this ribosomal RNA (486 nucleotides) under Triticum aestivum (bread wheat). Its description in RNAcentral is "partial small subunit ribosomal RNA". The record is from RNAcentral. Lineage: Eukaryota; Viridiplantae; Streptophyta; Magnoliopsida; Poales; Poaceae.